Molecule: ribosomal RNA, 506 nt
Filed under: uncultured bacterium
Lineage: Bacteria
Description: partial 16S ribosomal RNA
Rfam family: Bacterial small subunit ribosomal RNA
Source: RNAcentral
GAUGAACGCUAGCUACAGGCUUAACACAUGCAAGUCGAGGGGUAACAAGAGGAAAGCUUGCUUUUCUUGUUGACGACCGGCGCACGGGUGAGUAACGCGUAUCCAACCUGCCUACAACUAGGGAAUAACCUUGCGAAAGUAAGACUAAUACCCUAUGAUUUCCUUUGAUGACAUCAGAUUAGGAAUAAAGAUUUAUCGGUUAUAGAUGGGGAUGCGUCUGAUUAGCUUGUUGGCGGGGUAACGGCCCACCAAGGCAACGAUCAGUAGGGGUUCUGAGAGGAAGGGCCCCCACAUUGGAACUGAGACACGGUCCAAACUCCUACGGGAGGCAGCAGUGAGGAAUAUUGGUCAAUGGGCGGAAGCUUGAACCAGCCAAGUAGCGUGCAGGAUGACGGCCCUAUGGGUUGUAAACUGCUUUUAUACAGGAAUAAAGUUAGCCACGUGUGGUUAUUUGUAGGUACUGUAUGAAUAAGGACCGGCUAAUUCCGUGCCAGCCGCCGCCGUAA